RNAcentral lists this long non-coding RNA (247 nucleotides) under Capsicum annuum. Its description in RNAcentral is "long non-coding RNA (CANN_LNC014449)". The record is from RNAcentral. Lineage: Eukaryota; Viridiplantae; Streptophyta; Magnoliopsida; Solanales; Solanaceae.
UUUGGUUGUUUUCUACAUAUUCUGGAUAAUAUGUUAUUAUUUUCUAUUUUGUUCUCAGAAAAACUUAUUUUUUGUCUUUCUUCUCCUUGUCUCUCGUUGUUUUCGAUGGUUCUCCGUCUAUUUGAUAGAAAGUUCAUUUUUGUGGUUUUCUUAUUAUAUUUUUUCUUUCUUGUUUAGGAGUUAAUUCAGUUUUUUUUAACUGAUUAAUAAGUUCUUCUAUUUCAAGGUGGUUUUUUGGUGGUUCUUG